Ornithodoros turicata is the source of this 1429-nucleotide long non-coding RNA. RefSeq lists it as uncharacterized. The record is from RefSeq and is a predicted model, not a curated record. The transcript is spliced from 4 exons. Lineage: Eukaryota; Metazoa; Arthropoda; Arachnida; Ixodida; Argasidae.
UUCACGCGCACGAUGUGCGUGAGGAUCGUAUGAAAUGUUUCCCGAAGGAGAAUCUGUACCCUCUGCAACACCAAGCUUGACAAACAAUCUCACUUACGGCCUUCCUUUUCAGCAGUGUUGUCUGUUGGGUGACGAGUAGAGCCAGUCGAAAGGGUAUGGUCCUCUUUACUACGUUCUCCGAGCUUGCGUUCAUAGCGCUUUUCUACUUGCUUCAGUUUCGAAGUCUCCUCCGGCUGGUUUUUCUGCGUUUUGCUUCGAAUUGCCUCGCCCGUUUCCUUCGACAGGAACUUUUGAGACCUCGCCAACUGCAACUAACUCCUGUGCGAUGCAGCUGCAGUCAGGGUGUCCUGUCUAACCUGAGCAGGAUCCGCCAAUUUUCCGCGCACAUCGGCAGACUUCGUCGAAGCUUCGGACGACUUGCUCUUCCGUGAACCUGAGGAUGCCUUAGAGCUCUUGGAAGCAGCCGAAGCCUUGCGCUUAUUCGCCGGUUUAUCAGCAGCUGGAUCCAUAAGCACUGACGCCACGGUCGCUUCGAAUGGAAUGAGAGAGAACUAAAAAAAAAAAAUUCUUCUUCUUCGUCCUGCGGAGAAUGGCCAUUAGCCCCAAGGGAGAUCGGCCAGGGCUAUGAGGAUGUCCAACGGUGGUGAAGAACAUGUUCAGGACGUGAACUUGCAGCCACAGGAGGAAACAGGGCAUAGCUGUGACGUUUUCCAUGUUCAAUGUGAACUCCAUACUGUGGCUGGUUUCAUCACUGCCGCUACAUAUACAAAUAUGGAAACUCGUGAAUUGGAAAAUCCCCGUUUUCAGCAAACGACGCUACGAUACCGAACACCGAGUCUUCCAACAUAUGAGAUAUUUAUGGUGGUGAAAGCGGCACCGUCCCCACAGCAACAAGCAAGAAUGAGGACAAGGUCCGUAUGCAUGGAUGCCGCCCCUGCAAUUUUACACAAUACAAUAUUUCACGCGAUUCUGUGAACACAUCAAAGCCCCUUAGGAGCUGUGUUCAUUCUACAUAGUCUCACAUAUGCCACCACAUUGAGAAACGAUAUCUUCUUUAUCUUACGUUGCCAAUGCUGUGUUGUGUUUUCCUGAUAUUCACAAUACAAUACGUUCCCAGGAAAGCCCAUGGUCAUUGUAUUUUGGUAUGUCACCCGUGUCGUGUUUCGUGUGUGUGCCUGUAUGCAAUUUGCAAGUGCGAGCAUCUUAACCACUGUGACACGGGAGCUGGUACCGCUGUUAGUGCAGAAUUAGUAUCACUUACAGCGAUUACAAUUACAGCGAUUACUUACACGAAGUCGACUUCGUUCACAUAAUCCCCUGCACACUCUAACAAAGCGGCCAUUCACUCCGGCCGUAAAAACCCGUACGGACCCUUUCUUCCCUCCGGGCUGUUGACACACAAUUCGCAUGAACCUUUAAACACGUCACA